This is a non-coding RNA of Spiribacter curvatus, 355 nucleotides long. It matches the Rfam family "Bacterial RNase P class A". Rfam says of the family: Ribonuclease P (RNase P) is a ubiquitous endoribonuclease, found in archaea, bacteria and eukarya as well as chloroplasts and mitochondria. Its best characterised activity is the generation of mature 5'-ends of tRNAs by cleaving the 5'-leader elements of precursor-tRNAs. Lineage: Bacteria; Pseudomonadati; Pseudomonadota; Gammaproteobacteria; Chromatiales; Ectothiorhodospiraceae. The record is from Rfam.
GAAGUCGGCCGGGCAAUCGCGGCGCCAGAUGGCGUCGAGGAAAGUCCGGGCUCCAUAGGGCAGGGUGCCAGGUAACGCCUGGGCGGCGCGAGCCGACGGAAAGUGCCGCAGAGAGUAGACCGCCGAUGGCCGUGCAUGCACGGCACAGGUAAGGGUGAAAAGGUGCGGUAAGAGCGCACCGCGCGCUUGGCAACAUGUCGCGGCAAGGUAAACCCCACCCGGAGCAAGACCGAAUAGGGGAGUGCAAGCACGGCCCGUGCGAACUCCCGGGUAGGUCGCUUGAGUUGCGCGGUGACGCGCAUCCGAGAUGAAUGAUUGCCCUCGACAGAACCCGGCUUACAGGCCGGCUUCCACC